Molecule: long non-coding RNA, 922 nt
Organism: Eptesicus fuscus (big brown bat)
Lineage: Eukaryota; Metazoa; Chordata; Mammalia; Chiroptera; Vespertilionidae
Exons: 6
Source: RefSeq, a predicted model, not a curated record
GCCACCAGUUAAAUAAACAGUUGUGGGAUGUAUGGAGGAAUGGAUAUACAGAGGGGUACAUGGAUGCGUGGAUACAUGGAAUAGCUUCUGGCCAGAGGACACCUACGUUUCCCGGAAGGAGGUGCCUCGGGCUGGGCUUGAAGGAACAGAAGGGCUCCAGGUGGAGGGCACCGCCUGGGCAAAGGCGCAGAGCGGGAACGCUCUCCUGGGAGCAAAGGGCUGGAGCGUCCGGCCAGGGGGAGGUGUGACUUCCAGUGGCAGAGGCUGGGCGGGGUGAGUUUCAGGUGUAUAACACAGUGAUUCCACAUGUGCAUGCCUUAUGACGUGAUCACCACCAUGAGUCUAGCAACCAUCUUUCACCGGAUGAAGUUAUUACGAUACCGGUGACAAUAUUCCCUAUGUUAUGGAAAGUAACGUCACAAAACAGUAGGAUGGAAUUCUAGCUGGACUCUGUGGCCUGCUGAGGGCUGUGGCCCGAGGCCUGCUCGGCCUCAGAGCGGGAGAGGAGCAAGCUGUGCAGAGAGGCUGAAGGCCUGCCAGCACCCACGCGCGGCUCUCCGUGGGCUGACCGAAGAGUCGCAGAGAACUCGGAGGGAGGAGCGUCCUCCUCGGUGCCAUCUGUUACAACUCAUCGAGUGUUCGAGGCUUCUGAGCUUUCCAGGGCAGAUGUGAGGUGCAUGCGGCCCAUGGGGCACAGCGGACACCUGACCAAAUUCCAGCCGCCAGCACCUGCCCUUUCCCUGUGGGCUCUGCCCACCUGCGGGAGCUGGGAAUUAACACUCCAGGGAGCGCCCUCAACCAGGACGGCAGGAGCCGGUGACUACAGCCCUCAGCGCCCUCGCCACCCCAUCCCCACCCGCAACGUGGAAAACCCAGAGGUGCUUGGUCGACACCAGAGGUCCGAAGCCGAUUGAGCCCCAGG